UUUUAGAAAAUAACUAGGGUCUAGGGCUUUUCUUUCAUUGCCGUCUUCCCGUCAGCCUCCACUCCACACGACCACUCCAGGUGCUUCCCGUCUGCCGUGCCUCCCUCCGGCCACCGGCGCCGACCACCAGCUAGCGCCGCCGUCUGAAAUACUCACGACCACUCCAGGUGCUUCUCGGAUUUCAAGUUUUCAGAGUUUUCAACUCUGAAAUACUCUUCCCACCGACCACCAGCUAGCGCCGCCGUCUGCUACGAACCAGCGCCACCGUUUGGAACUAACCGGCGCCGCCGCUGCCCCCUAAGACAGCAGGUUAGUAUUUCCUUCUCACUCUCAAACUUGAUAGAUUAGAUAAUAAUGGUGGAUGGGUGUAUUUGUGAUACAUUCUGAUUUCUGAAAUGGAUUUAUGUAAUUAUGCCCCACCCCUAGCUAGUAAGCUCCGCCCCUGUUUGUGUAAGAACUUGUUGAUGGCAUUGUGUGUUGCUUUUCAAAAAAAUUGAAUCUUUUCAAAUUGUUCCAUUAAAAUCAUGAUGACAGAAUUGCUUUUGAAGUAUCAUGAGGUUUCAGAACAAGAUGUCUUGAUUCGAAAAUCAUUUGUUUUAACUUCAGAUUAAGAUUAAAUCAUAGCUGAAGUUUUAUCUGCUAGAUGCAUAUUUACUCCUUGCCAUAGUCUAAGUGUGGACUGAACAGAUGAAUUGGAGUGCAUGUUGAACUACUACAUUAGGAUUAGUAAAUUUCUACUAUAUAAAUCACAUGAAUUUUGUUUACUUUAAUUGUUGCCUAGGUUGGAAAUUCAUAAUUAUUAGAGUUGUUCUGUUUUUUUUUUUUUUAAAUUACAAUUCUCUAUAAAACAUUUUUUUGUUCCAAAUAAUUAUAGGUUAUGAGUUGGUGUACUGGAUAGGACUCCAUCCUUUCUUCUAAAGGUGAGUUCAAAUCCCACAUCCUACAAAAUUCAAUUUUUUUAAAAUUUCAUAAAAUACAAGUUAACCGGUCCAUUAACCGGUUCGGUUACCGGUUAGGAGAUUGCUCCUUAUCCGGUUCCGGUUAACCGGUAAACCGGUUCAAUUAAAAUCGAACCGUUUAACCGAACCGGACCGAUUACCAGCCCUAAAAAAUACACAUAAUUUGUCACUUUUCUGAUUUAUAAUAUAUUAAUAUGACCUUUUAAUUUGAUCAGAAAAUACACUACUUUUUAAUUUGAUUGUAAUUGUUAUAAAUCAAAAAAUUGGCAAACUAUGUGUAUUUUUUGGCAAUAGCCCCAUCAUUUUUUUUUUCCCGAUUAAAAUAUGUUGACCCUAAAUAUUUCGACACACUAGGUUUCAGGCUAGCCUGUCGAACCUGCAAAUUUACGAUUUUUUUACAUGUAUGAUUUUUUAUUGAUAAUCAUAUAAUUGUAAGAAAAAAUAGGCCUUGUUUUUUUUAGUCAAGACACUUCAACUCGUUUUAGAAUUUGAUAUUUUGGGCUAAUCAGUUUGUUUUAUUUUUCGAAAUAAAAUAUGUUGACUCUAAAUAUUUCGACCCACUAGGUUUCAGGCUAACCCAUCGGACCCGCAAAUUUAUGAUUUCUUUACAUGUAUGACUUUUUUUAGGGUAAAUAUCACUUUCUGUCCCAUCGUUUGUUCGAAUUAUUGAUUAUGUUUCAACUUUUCGAUAAUAUCUAAUUGGUACCCAACCUACCAACAUUUUUUUAAUUGUGUCCCUUAAAAAUUUUCCGACGCUCGGAAAUUGACGUGGAACGCUGGAAAUUUAUUACGUGGAAUUAUUAAUCCACUUGGAAUUGCCAACAUUAUUAUAGUACUUUAUUAUACUUAAAAAAAGAGUAAAAUAAUACAUCCCCUAAACUAAACGUCGUCGUAUCCAAUUCAUCAAAAUCCCAAAUCAAAGAACAUAUCCAGAAUUGCAGAUAACUUAAUAGUAAAUGCUCUUGAACAGUUCAAAUUCGAUUUGAGGCAUAAGCAAAUGGGCGGUUCGAAGAAGAAGAAGAAGCGGAGCGGUGGCAGAGGCCACCGCGCCCAGUCAAAGGACCAUCACUCGACUGACGCCGAUAAUUCUAAAAUUUUAACCAAGGAAGUAACUGCGUUGUGAGUUUUUUCUUAUUUUUGAAUUUUUAACGAACACAUUUUAUAUUAUUGUUGUUUUAAUCAUUCUAGUGAACUACUAUGUGUAGAUAUUUUGUUCAGUGAAUGUACGGUCAAUAGUUUGAGCUCCUGAAUCACCUCCUCGUAUCAACAUCAAGCUCAGGUUCCAGAUUUGUGAUAAUUCAUGGACAUUAAACCUUAGGCUUCAUGUACUUGGUGCAGAUGCUUACCAGGUUAUCCAUAUAAAUGCCCGAAGCUGCAGAUAAUACCAGAGAAAAAGCUUAUAAAAAACUAAUGCUGAUAAUCUUUUAUCUUUACUUUAUGAUCAUGUAGGACCUUAGUGAUAGCCAGAGGAGGAGGACGAUUACUAGAUAUGUUCUUUAAUUUGGGAUUUUGAUGAAUUGGAUACGACAGCGUUUAGUUCAGGGGAUGUAUUAUUUUACUCUCUUUUUUUAAGUAUAAUAAAGUAUAAUAAUACUGACAAUUUCAGGUGGAUUAAUAAGUCCAUGUAAUCAAACUCUUCGGGCGCCGAAAAUGUUUUAAGGGACACAAUUAAAAAAAUGUUGGUAGGUUGGGUACCAAUUAGAUAUUAUCGAAAAAUUGGGAUAUAAUCGAUAAUUCGGCCAAACGAUGGGACAGAA
RNAcentral lists this long non-coding RNA (2716 nucleotides) under Salvia miltiorrhiza (redroot sage). Its description in RNAcentral is "long non-coding RNA (SMIL_LNC008464)". The record is from RNAcentral. Lineage: Eukaryota; Viridiplantae; Streptophyta; Magnoliopsida; Lamiales; Lamiaceae.